AUAUGUGGGGAUAGUAAAUGUUUUAAAUGUAUGAGGUGAGUUAUUAGGAAGUCUGUUAAUUACAGACCUGGGCAAAGGUAUAAAUCUUGCCGAUUACAGGCUGGAUGUAAAAGCAAAACAAUCCGCAAGCUCAACACUUGGUAUUUUAGAGGCCCCGUGAUGGAAGUGCUGGAUAGCCACAAAGUCAAGAUGUGGUACAGAAGACUCAAUUAUCAAAGUGGAGCUGAGUCUGCAGGAAAUUGAAGCUGAUGACUAUUGAUUCACAGUAAAGGUGGAGAGAGAGCUGCACACAGCUGCCUAGGAGAGAAGCAGGAGGAGCAGGUUGCUGAAAAGCUGUCAUUGAUGAGAACACAGUGAGUGGGUGAGAGGUGCUCCGGCCUCAUGGGCUCGUGUAGCAGCUCCACUGAAAGACUCCCAUUUAAACACACACACCUGUUAACAAACAGCAACAAUAGGCUGCAUGGCUGCCAGUUCAGUGAGCCUCAUACCCUGACCCCCCCUCCCACCUGUCGGCCCCCUGACGGAUAUUAAAGAGCCUUUAUUUGCCCAUACUGGCACACAGCUCGCAGGAUCCACAGAGGCUGGGCUGCCCAGGGUAUCCGCAGUUCACCAUUGUCCGGUGAUGGAGAACAGAGAGGAUGGAUACUAAGGAAUGCCGAGGGAAAAUAGAGGCUAAACUUUGCCUUUCAUGUGGUCAUUGGUGCUUGUUGUAGUG
Molecule: long non-coding RNA, 715 nt
Organism: Notolabrus celidotus (New Zealand spotty)
Lineage: Eukaryota; Metazoa; Chordata; Actinopteri; Labriformes; Labridae
Exons: 3
Source: RefSeq, a predicted model, not a curated record